GUGGGUGUAGUAAAAAUAGGCUAGAGCGUGGUGAUUGAUAAACACCCAACCAUUUUGUUAUGCAACUAUAGCUCCUUGAUUGAGAUCUGAGGUUCUUGAUUAUAGUGAUAGACAGGGUAGUAUUAUCGGAGUAGUGUAAAGUAUAGGGUCCAAUUAAUUUCCCUAGCAUAUUUAACUCCAAUUUAGUCAUUAAUAUAGAAGGUAUAUACGGCUAUACUCAGGCCCUCAUAGUAUGUAUUUACGGGGGGAGUUGGGAGAUUGAAAUAGAGGAGUGUUGUCUUUAUAGUUGAAAGCUUGAUGUAGAAUGUGGUCAUAUUUAAGGGUUAUUAGAUGCAUUGGUUG
This 342-nucleotide long non-coding RNA is filed under the name Capsicum annuum. RNAcentral's name for it is "long non-coding RNA (CANN_LNC005076)". Lineage: Eukaryota; Viridiplantae; Streptophyta; Magnoliopsida; Solanales; Solanaceae. The record is from RNAcentral.